AUUGAACGCUGGCGGCAUGCUUUACACAUGCAAGUCGAACGGCAGCGCGGGCUUCGGCCUGGCGGCGAGUGGCGAACGGGUGAGUAAUACAUCGGAACGUGCCCAGUAGUGGGGGAUAGCUCGGCGAAAGCCGGAUUAAUACCGCAUACGACCUGAUGGUGAAAGCGGGGGAUCUUCGGACCUCGCGCUAUUGGAGCGGCCGAUGGCAGAUUAGUUAGUUGGUGGGGUAAAGGCCUACCAAGGCGACGAUCUGUAGCUGGUCUGAGAGGACGACCAGCCACACUGGGACUGAGACACGGCCCAGACUCCUACGGGAGGCAGCAGUGGGGAAUUUUGGACAAUGGGCGAAAGCCUGAUCCAGCAAUGCCGCGUGUGUGAUGAAGGCCUUCGGGUUGUAAAGCACUUUUGGCGGGAACGAAAAGGACUGUGCCAAUACCACGGUUCGAUGACGGUACCCGCAGAAUAAGCACCGGCUAACUACGUG
Molecule: ribosomal RNA, 484 nt
Filed under: uncultured bacterium
Lineage: Bacteria
Description: partial 16S ribosomal RNA
Rfam family: Bacterial small subunit ribosomal RNA
Source: RNAcentral